RNAcentral lists this long non-coding RNA (1567 nucleotides) under Pogona vitticeps (central bearded dragon). RNAcentral describes it as "lncRNA (ENSPVIG00000022396.1)". Lineage: Eukaryota; Metazoa; Chordata; Lepidosauria; Squamata; Agamidae. The record is from RNAcentral.
GAACAUUCUAAGAUAAGGUAUCUUCAAAUGAACUACUUAUUUCAUUGAUAUUUUUCAUUUUACAUUUGACAUCAGAAGUAGACAGUAACAGAACAGUUUUAAUAUUGCUUUAAUGCUGUUUUCAUAUUUCACCGCUGUUUUUAUUGGAACUGUUAAACUUUAGUGACUUCAAAAUAUCUGUGGAAUCUGGUGGUGUCUAAGUAUUACACACACACACACACACACACACACACACACACACACAACAAUAUAAAUAAAGUCACAAAAUGCCACAUCCUGUAAUCUACCAUUUUUUACAGAUGGCAAACACUGCUAGGAUGAAAAUUAAAACAGAAUAUUAUAUGAACACUUAAUUUUUUAAAUAUUCCAUCUGUUUUCUAUUAAUCUAACACAAGGAAAAGUUUAAAUACUAGCAGCUCAAAAUAAAAAUAGCUAGAUUAAGCACUCUGAAUUCUAACAAUGUCAUCAUGGACAACAUGAAAUUGAUACUAAAAAAAUAUGCAUGCCAUGUCAUGGCCAAAAACCUAUUGCCAAUGUAUGCUUGCAUAAGGGAAACUAUGUCUUGGCAGUAAACUGAAAGUCACUGAUUCUUUCUUUCUUUCUUUCUUUCUUUCUUUCUUUCUUUCUUUCUUUCUUUCUUUCUUUCUUUCUUUCUUUCUUUCUUUCUUUCUUUCUUUCUUUCGUCUUUCUUUCUUUCUUUCUUUCUCUUUCUCUUCCUUCCUUCCUUCCUUCCUUCCUUCCUUCCUUCCUUCCUUCGCUUGCUGUCUUCAUACUAACAUAGCUAAGUGACUUAAGAAGCAGCAGCAGCAGCAAGGAAUUGGCAGAGAGACAGAAGGAUGUUUUCAGUUCUGACUUGUUUCUAGUUUGUUUGGCUGUCCAGAUUUGCAGGAGGCAUGGUUAGAGCAGACCUACCUUAAAACUUCACUGAAGAAAUCAUCACUGAUUCAGUGGGCUUACUCCAAUUUGACUUACUACGUUAAGCAAAAGGAUUUCAACAAUUAUUUUUUUCACUUUCUUUUCCCUUCCUUCCUUCCUUCUUUCUUUGUUUUUGAAAGCUCUUCUGUUGGCAUGUCACUUGUUCAGCAAUCUUAAGGGGCUCAUAAACCAAAAUAGGUACUCUCGAAUAGAAUCUAGGGUCUCUUACAAGCCAGUUGGUUUUAACACAGUUCCUCCAAAAUUAACACAAGAGGGCUUCUCCUUAUGGUUGGAAUCUGCCUUUGAAAAGACUGCCAGGCAUCACAUUUCAUUAACCUUAACCCUCUUAAAAUAUUUUUUAAAGAGAAUAAAAUGGUUAUCACAGAUAUGUUGGGUAUUAUAUGGAAAAACUGCAGUAAAAUUACUUAUUCCCCUUUAAGGGAGAAAACAGCUUGGAGCCUCUCCCCUCCUUUUCUUUUUUUAAGAAUCAGAUUAAAAAGCAAGUAGUUUCACACAGCAGGUGGAAAGAAAUGUCACAUAAAUCUUUUUCUAUAGUUUGAAAAGGCUCAUGGGCUGACACAUUGGAACUCUAGAUCCAAUAUAAGUACAAUAACGGAAGAAUAAAAAAGCAGGGUGCCUCUAUUUUUAUACA